RNAcentral lists this ribosomal RNA (495 nucleotides) under uncultured bacterium. Its description in RNAcentral is "partial 16S ribosomal RNA". It matches the Rfam family "Bacterial small subunit ribosomal RNA", at positions 29 to 506 of the family's 1533-position model. The record is from RNAcentral.
AUGAACGCUGGCGGCGUGCCUAAUACAUGCAAGUCGAGCGAACGGACGAGAAGCUUGCUUCUCUGAUGUUAGCGGCGGACGGGUGAGUAACACGUGGAUAACCUACCUAUAAGACUGGGAUAACUUCGGGAAACCGGAGCUAAUACCGGAUAAUAUUUUGAACCGCAUGGUUCAAAAGUAAAAGACGGUCUUGCUGUCACUUAUAGAUGGAUCCGCGCUGCAUUAGCUAGUUGGUAAGGUAACGGCUUACCAAGGCAACGAUGCAUAGCCGACCUGAGAGGGUGAUCGGCCACACUGGAACUGAGACACGGUCCAGACUCCUACGGGAGGCAGCAGUAGGGAAUCUUCCGCAAUGGGCGAAAGCCUGACGGAGCAACGCCGCGUGAGUGAUGAAGGUCUUCGGAUCGUAAAACUCUGUUAUUAGGGAAGAACAUAUGUGUAAGUAACUGUGCACAUCUUGACGGUACCUAAGCAGAAAGCCACGGCUAACUACGU